This is a long non-coding RNA of Hippopotamus amphibius kiboko, 1353 nucleotides long. RefSeq lists it as uncharacterized. Lineage: Eukaryota; Metazoa; Chordata; Mammalia; Artiodactyla; Hippopotamidae. The record is from RefSeq and is a predicted model, not a curated record. The transcript is spliced from 3 exons.
CGGGCCCCCCCCCCCCCGCCACGGGCUGCGACGUGCCUGUGUCCCAGGGGCGUCAGACCACGGGGGUGUCAGACCACCGAGACGGGGGAGGGAGGCGGAAGGGGGGAGCAGCGGAUGUGGACACGGGCGACCGGCACCCGUCACCUUGGUGCCGUCUGUGUGUGUGUGCGUGUGUGUGUGUGUGUGCGUGCGUGUGUGUGUGUGUGUGCGUGCAUGUGUCUGUGUGUGUGCCUGUGUGUGUGUGUGCGUGUCUGUGUGUGUGCGUGCGUGUGCCUGUGUGUGUGCGUGCGUGUGUCUGUGUGCACACGGGCAGUGGGCCUGCCCCUGAGGCUGUUUCUGGACGCCGGAUCUGCUGGCCGUGGGAGACGGCGGUCCCGCCUGUUCCUGCCGCGUGGGGCCGCCCGUCAGGUGUGGGAAUCCGUUCUCGUUCCUCCCUGGAGACUCUCCGUCUGCAGCGUUGAAGUGGGGAGCCGGGUGGGGAGUCGUGGGGGACGUGCCCUCCGGGGCGUGUGCGCGGUGGUGGCCGAGCCCCCCGCCGGCUGGGCCCUCCCUGCCCUGCGUGCUGCAGGCUGUGGGGUCCGGGUGGGUGCGGGCAGGGGCGCGGGGCUGGGGGGGGGCCCUGUUCCCUGGCGCAGGGCCGCCGCGUCUCCGAGCCGGAGGCCAGGCCAGAGGGUUCCUGAGAGGACAGCGCAGAAGCCAGAGCCGUGGGAGGUUUAAAAAAGAACCCACACAAAUUAAAAUAUGAGUCUGACGCCGAGGUCCCGCUGACCUUUGGAAAACGCACGCGUGUACGUGCACACACACGCAGGAGCUUCCCGUGGCUGCCGGGACGUCGUGCUGCCCGCCGAGGGGAGGCAGGGGUCCGAGGAAUUUACUUCAGGGGAUGCGGACAAGCAACGGAGCAGAAAGCGGAGGUCGUCAGAGCCCGUCCCGCAGGAGGGAGCCCGGGUCUGGGCGCUCAGCCGCCGCGGCUCCUGCCGGGUCCACCUGCCUCCCGCGGCCGAGGGUCACGGCUGCGCGUGCUUGGCGGUGGGCGCGGGGCCGUGCGCCGUGCUUUCCCCAGACGGGCCCCUUCACGAGAUCCCACCUCGGCGCCCCCGGGGCUCCCGCCACGCGUGCACGGCUCCUGGGGAUGUGGUCACGGGUGUAGUUUCCCCCGACACGGCUGCACGCGGGCGAGGGCGAGGCCCUGCUUGUCCUGGGACGGGACUCGGCCCAGCUCCGUGCCGCGCCGCCUGGCAGGGCCGGAGACGCCGAGGCUCCGCCGGGAGGCCGUCCAGAAUCCGGCGGGAAGGCGGCAGGUGGCAGCGCCGGUUACAGAACCCAGUGGGGGUUGAGAGCUCAGUGUGGGGU